Molecule: non-coding RNA, 87 nt
Organism: Cajanus cajan (pigeon pea)
Lineage: Eukaryota; Viridiplantae; Streptophyta; Magnoliopsida; Fabales; Fabaceae
Source: Rfam
CCGACCUUAGCUCAGUUGGUAGAGCGGAGGACUGUAGUUGGAGUAACAGACAUCCUUAGGUCGCUGGUUCGAAUCCGGCAGGUCGGA